Molecule: ribosomal RNA, 294 nt
Filed under: uncultured delta proteobacterium
Lineage: Bacteria; Deltaproteobacteria
Description: partial 16S ribosomal RNA
Rfam family: Bacterial small subunit ribosomal RNA
Source: RNAcentral
UGGGGAAUCUUGCGCAAUGGGCGAAAGCCUGACGCAGCGACGCCGCGUGGGUGAUGAAGGCCUUCGGGUCGUAAAGCCCUGUCGGGAGGGAAGAAUGUUCCUCGACCUAAUACGUCGGGGAAGUGACGGUACCUCCUAAGGAAGCACCGGCUAACUCCGUGCCAGCAGCCGCGGUAAUACGGAGGGUGCAAGCGUUGUUCGGAAUCACUGGGCGUAAAGGGCGUGUAGGCGGCCCGCUAAGUCUGAUGUGAAAUCCCCUCGCUCAACGAGGGAACUGCGUCGGAAACUGCAGGC